GACAGAGGUGCCAAGCGUUAGGCGGAAUCACUGGGCUUAAAGCGUGUGUAGGCGAACUUGUAAGUACCUUGUGAAAUCCCACGGCUCAACCGUGGAACUGCUUGGUAUACUGCUUGUCUUGAGCCACUUAGGGGCUACCGGAACAAAUGGUGGAGCGGUGAAAUGCGUAGAUAUCAUUUGGAACGCCAAUGGUGAAAACAGGUAGCUGGGAGUGUGCUGACGCUGAGACACGAAAGCCAGGGGAGCGAACGGG
This 253-nucleotide ribosomal RNA is filed under the name uncultured bacterium. RNAcentral describes it as "partial 16S ribosomal RNA". It matches the Rfam family "Bacterial small subunit ribosomal RNA", at positions 524 to 776 of the family's 1533-position model. The record is from RNAcentral.